GGUCUCCGCUACCCGACCAGGGCGAUUGGUCCGCCUGAAAAGCGGAAGGUCGGCGGUUCGACCCCGCCCCUGACCA
This 76-nucleotide transfer RNA is filed under the name Streptosporangium minutum. RNAcentral describes it as "tRNA-Phe". Lineage: Bacteria; Bacillati; Actinomycetota; Actinomycetes; Streptosporangiales; Streptosporangiaceae. The record is from RNAcentral.